Molecule: ribosomal RNA, 391 nt
Filed under: Bacillus sp. (in: firmicutes)
Lineage: Bacteria; Bacillati; Bacillota; Bacilli; Caryophanales; Bacillaceae
Description: bacterial SSU rRNA
Rfam family: Bacterial small subunit ribosomal RNA
Source: RNAcentral
CACGCCGCGUGAGUGAUGAAGGCUUUCGGGUCGUAAAACUCUGUUGUUAGGGAAGAACAAGUGCUAGUUGAAUAAGCUGGCACCUUGACGGUACCUAACCAGAAAGCCACGGCUAACUACGUGCCAGCAGCCGCGGUAAUACGUAGGUGGCAAGCGUUAUCCGGAAUUAUUGGGCGUAAAGCGCGCGCAGGUGGUUUCUUAAGUCUGAUGUGAAAGCCCACGGCUCAACCGUGGAGGGUCAUUGGAAACUGGGAGACUUGAGUGCAGAAGAGGAAAGUGGAAUUCCAUGUGUAGCGGUGAAAUGCGUAGAGAUAUGGAGGAACACCAGUGGCGAAGGCGACUUUCUGGUCUGUAACUGACACUGAGGCGCGAAAGCGUGGGGAGCAAACAA